UUUUUGAACUUUUCAAGAUCAAAUUUUUAUAGUCGCGCUUGCAAGUUUUCAUUUUUUUUUUUUUUUUUAAGUGCGUUUUCAAGGUUAAUCAGGAAUUUGAGUUAAUAUUAAAAUACCCUUUUCAUGGUUUCUUGUUUGGAUCUACUUCUGUUUAUAUUUUAGUGAUUGUGUCGAUCAAUAAUGGAGAAAUUAACACGUGCAUAUCCAUUAUAUCUGGGAUCUGUGUGGACUUCUUUCUCUAAGGACAUGAUUUGUGAUUGCGACUAGAUCGGAUUAGGAUUAGACUGCAUUGGAUUGGACUGAGUUGUAUUAGAGAUGAUAACAUUAAUCCAAUGCUGUGUUUGGUACUGCACAGGAUUGUGUGCCAAUGCCAAAUUAUGGGUGAAGAAAUCACGGGAAGUCAGAACAAGAAAAUUUUGCCACAUUAUGUCACCCUCUCUGCUCAGGAUUAGUCAAUACACAAUGAUAGAAUUACUUGGAAGCAUAUACCGCAUGCGUUUCUCAAAAACUUAAGUGGACAAUCACUUGGCAAAUGCGCUCUUAAAGGCCCUGGUGGAAAAAGGUGGAUUGUGGGACUGGAAGAGCGAGAGAACGGCUUGUUCUUCUAUGCGGCGGGUUGGCAGGAUUUUGUGAAGGAUCAUCUUCUGCAAGUUGGGGAAUUUCUGGUGUUCCAUUACCAUGGUGAAUCAAAAUUUAUAUGAUAAAAGUGCCUGUGAGAAGGAUGUAGAGGAAGCCGAGGGGAGGAGUAGCAGUCCAGUUACCUAGGAAAAUAAAGGAAAUCAAGCCAGAGUAAAAGAGGAAAUUGUCGAAUCCGAAACUGAAAACUACGAUGCAGACUGCGAAAAUAAAGGGACCAUUGCUAGCAGAAGUGAGAAUGCCAUGCCUGGAAAGAGACCUUCAACUGGUUAUGUAAAAGAAACAUCAACCAGAUGCUUCACAUUCACAUUCAAAUUGGAGAAUCCAUGUUUUAUGGAAACUCUGAAGAAGUAUCAAGAAUACUGUGUGAUAAUUCCGAAGAAACUAGCCAUGUCUGAAUGAGCACAGGCACUGUAAUGCUUCGAAAUGAAUCCGGAAGAUCAUGCUGUGCUAAAGUUAUACUCCGUCCCAAGUCAUCUUUCCACCGCAUGGAAUUGACAACAGGUUGGGCAGAAUUUAGUAACACGAACCAGAUUUCAGAUGGGGACACUGUAAAUUUUGAGUUUGUCAAGCAAACCGUAAUUCAGAUUCAUGUUUUCAGAGCAGUGAGAGGCAAGAGAUGUGCUGUGGUACUAGGUGCCCCCAAUGUGAAAAACGAAAGCCAGUUAAAAAUAUCUUGACUGCAAUAUUCACUUUUGCAUUCUGCGCAAACGGCGAUCUUCUUGUAUUUUGUUCCCCAGCCUCCGGCAGCCAGUCUUCUUUUUCUGGGAGUUUUGUGGUAACUUUCUGUUUCUAUGAGGCAGAACUUGAACUGAGAGAGAUGAUUGAGUAGAGUUUGUGCACGUGUAAAUUUUAGCCAUUCAUCCAACGCUGGGACUAAAUUCAAAUGCCAUUAUAUUUUGUUGAUUAUAUUAUAUGCCACGUCUCAUCACAGA
Long non-coding RNA from Pyrus x bretschneideri (Chinese white pear), 1571 nucleotides. RefSeq lists it as uncharacterized. NCBI's taxonomy places the organism in Eukaryota, Viridiplantae, Streptophyta, Magnoliopsida, Rosales, Rosaceae. The transcript is spliced from 4 exons. The record is from RefSeq and is a predicted model, not a curated record.